AAGCAUCUCACAAUAGCGAUUAAAGGUCACUGUUACAGUAACACCGUCUUCUUCAAAGAAGUACGGACCCCACACACCAAAUGCGAAAAUGGCACACCAAACUGUAACCUUUGGACUGUGGUCGCUGGUGAAGUUCUUGAGGAUUGUGUUCAGACCAGUAUCUAAAGUUUUAUUUGUUUACCGUACCUGAGAGGUGAAAAUGUACCUCGUCCGUA
Cinara cedri is the source of this 215-nucleotide non-coding RNA. NCBI's taxonomy places the organism in Eukaryota, Metazoa, Arthropoda, Insecta, Hemiptera, Aphididae. The record is from the annotation of a GenBank genome assembly.